Non-coding RNA from Paramarasmius palmivorus, 93 nucleotides. Lineage: Eukaryota; Fungi; Basidiomycota; Agaricomycetes; Agaricales; Marasmiaceae. The record is from the annotation of a GenBank genome assembly.
UCCAAUGUGGUGUAGUGGCUAACAUUGCUAUCUUUCAUAAGAAUCUCAAUUGUGUAUCCACAGCAGCUCGGGGUUCGAUUCCCCGCAUUGGAA